GAUCAUGGCUUAGGAUGAACGCUAGCUACAGGCUUAACACAUGCAAGUCGAGGGGCAUCAGUUUGGUUUGCUUGCAAACCAAAGCUGGCGACCGGAGCACGGGUGAGUAACACGUAUCCAACCUGCCUCAUACUCGGGGAUAGCCUUUCGAAAGAAAGAUUAAUGUCCGAUAGCAUAUAUUUCCCGCAUGGGUUUUAUAUUAAAGAAAUUCGGUAUGAGAUGGGGAUGCGUUCCAUUAGUUUGG
RNAcentral lists this ribosomal RNA (244 nucleotides) under uncultured bacterium. RNAcentral's name for it is "partial 16S ribosomal RNA". It matches the Rfam family "Bacterial small subunit ribosomal RNA", at positions 15 to 249 of the family's 1533-position model. The record is from RNAcentral.